AACUCAGGACCGCGAGGGGUGCGAUCACCCACUGAUACAAGGGGACUCAUCUAAUGAGAGUUCACACAAAAGAAUUUUAAUAAACAUUAUUUGAAAGAACUGGUGACCAUUUCACCUAAUGGUCCACAGAGGUGAUUCCCACACAGUCUUCCCAGGAACCUUCAAUUUAAACCUAAUGCCAUUUCUCGGGGCAUCUUCACAACAGUUACACGCUUAUUUGAAAAACUAAAACUCAACAAAAUGUUACAUUUGACUUUCUAAAAUUCAAAGGUUUAACAGAAGGUACCCAAAUGCUGGCUAGGGAGUAGUCUAAAGGAUCAUUUGUAUGGCGUUUGAUAUUCCCCAACAGAAAUAGAAAGCAAGUGGUACAUUUCCGACAAAUCUUAUCUUGUUAAAUCUUAUUCAGCAUUUUAUCGGCAGGUGUUUUCAGACUGAUUCACUCUGUUGUUCAUUUGUUUAGAGAACAGGAGUCCCACACAAUAGCCAAAGCUGGCCAGGAACCCUCGAUCCUUCUAUCCUCUUUGAAUCCUUGAAUUCAAUUUACCUCCUAGACCAGAACACCCUCAGGUCCAGACCCUGAGUUCUCUAAGCCCUGGAACCCUUGUAGGUCAGUAUCUCUCUUGGCUGUGACACUCCUGCGCAAUGCACAAAAUAUUUACACAGCCGCAGAAGGAGCUGUCUGGAGCCAGGAAGAUCAGACGGCGGCUGACUGAAAGUAAUAGAUGUGCCAGAGAGUGGCUGCUGACAGUGGACCGUGGAGAGCAUGUGGAUUGCAGAGAGCAGGCUCUGGAAGCCAGAGUGGCAAGAGCAAGCAAGGUGGAGACGCGAGGCAAGCUCCUAGAAGGUGCACAUCCAGCUGCCUUCCACAUCCAAAGAUGGAGCAGGGUCUGGAGAAAGGGCGCAGCAGUUUCGAGUUCUUGCCGCUCCUGCAAAAGACCUGAGUUUGGAUUUCAGCCCCUCGGUCAGGUGGCUCACAACCAUCUGUAACUCCAGCUACAGUGACUCCCACGCCCUCUUCUUGCCUCCACUGUCACUUGCCCACCUGUGACUUAUACACACCGAGACAUGUAUUAUACAUCUACACAAUAAAUUUUAAAAAUAAAUAUUUUUUUUUUUUAGAUUA
Non-coding RNA from Myodes glareolus (Bank vole), 1123 nucleotides. The record is from RefSeq and is a predicted model, not a curated record. Lineage: Eukaryota; Metazoa; Chordata; Mammalia; Rodentia; Cricetidae.